UACGUAGGGGGCUAGCGUUGUCCGGAAUCAUUGGGCGUAAAGCGCACGUAGGCGGAUUUCUAAGUCAGGGGUGAAAUCCUGGAGCUCAACUCCAGAACUGCCUUUGAUACUGGGAAUCUCGAGUCCGGGAGAGGUGAGUGGAACUGCGAGUGUAGAGGUGAAAUUCGUAGAUAUUCGCAAGAACACCAGUGGCGAAGGCGGCUCACUGGCCCGGUACUGACGCUGAGGUGCGAAAGCGUGGGGAGCAAACAGG
Molecule: ribosomal RNA, 253 nt
Filed under: uncultured bacterium
Lineage: Bacteria
Description: partial 16S ribosomal RNA
Rfam family: Bacterial small subunit ribosomal RNA
Source: RNAcentral